CCUACGGGUGGCUGCAGUAGGGAAUCUUCCACAAUGGGCGAAACCCUGAUGCAGCAACGCCGCGUGAGUGAUGAAGUAUUUCGGUACGUAAAGCUCUGUUAGCAGGGAAGAUCAUGACGGUAACUGACUAUGAAGCUCCGGCUAAAUACGUGCCAGCAGCCGCGGGAAUACGUAGGGACCAAGCGUUAUCCGGAUUUACUGGGUGUAACGGGAGCGCAGACGGUUGGGCAAGUCUGAUGUGAAAGUCCGGGGCUCAACCCCGGGGGAGCAUUGGAAACUGUACGGCUUGAGGGCAGAAGAGGUAAGUGGAAUUCCUUGUGUAGCGGUGAAAUGCGCAGAGAUUAGGAGGAACACCAGUGGCGAAGGCGGCUUACUGGACUGUAACUGACGUUGAGGCUCGAAAGCGUGGGGAGCAAACAGGAUUAGAUACCCUAGUAGUC
This 440-nucleotide ribosomal RNA is filed under the name uncultured bacterium. RNAcentral's name for it is "partial 16S ribosomal RNA". It matches the Rfam family "Bacterial small subunit ribosomal RNA", at positions 338 to 795 of the family's 1533-position model. The record is from RNAcentral.